RNAcentral lists this ribosomal RNA (497 nucleotides) under uncultured bacterium. RNAcentral describes it as "partial 16S ribosomal RNA". It matches the Rfam family "Bacterial small subunit ribosomal RNA", at positions 28 to 507 of the family's 1533-position model. The record is from RNAcentral.
GAUGAACGCUGGCGGCGUGCCUAAUACAUGCAAGUCGAGCGAACAGAUGAGGAGCUUGCUCCUCUGACGUUAGCGGCGGACGGGUGAGUAACACGUGGAUAACCUACCUAUAAGACUGGGAUAACUUCGGGAAACCGGAGCUAAUACCGGAUAAUAUAUUGAACCGCAUGGUUCAAUAGUGAAAGACGGUUUUGCUGUCACUUAUAGAUGGAUCCGCGCCGCAUUAGCUAGUUGGUAAGGUAACGGCUUACCAAGGCGACAAUGCGUAGCCGACCUGAGAGGGUGAUCGGCCACACUGGAACUGAGACACGGUCCAGACUCCUACGGGAGGCAGCAGUAGGGAAUCUUCCGCAAUGGGCGAAAGCCUGACGGAGCAACGCCGCGUGAGUGAUGAAGGUCUUCGGAUCGUAAAACUCUGUUAUUAGGGAAGAACAAAUGUGUAAGUAACUAUGCACGUCUUGACGGUACCUAAUCAGAAAGCCACGGCUAACUACGUG